UCCCUGAAGGACUAGUGGUUAGGCUUUGGCGCUCUAACUGCCGCGGCCCUGGUUCGAUUCCCAGCUAGGAAA
Molecule: non-coding RNA, 72 nt
Organism: Pangasius djambal
Lineage: Eukaryota; Metazoa; Chordata; Actinopteri; Siluriformes; Pangasiidae
Source: the annotation of a GenBank genome assembly